GACGAACCGUGCGAACGUUGUUCGGAAUCACUGGGCUUAAAGGGCACGUAGGCGGGCGGCCGCGUCCGGGGUGAAAUCCCACGGCUCAACCGUGGAACGGCCUCGGAUACGGGCGGCCUCGAGGGGGGUAGGGGCAUCUGGAACUGUGAGUGGAGCGGUGAAAUGCGUUGAUAUUCACAGGAACUCCGGUGGCGAAGGCGAGGUGCUGGACCCCAUCUGACGCUGAGGCGCGAAAGCCAGGGGAGCGAACGGG
This 253-nucleotide ribosomal RNA is filed under the name uncultured bacterium. RNAcentral describes it as "partial 16S ribosomal RNA". It matches the Rfam family "Bacterial small subunit ribosomal RNA", at positions 524 to 776 of the family's 1533-position model. The record is from RNAcentral.